CCUACGGGUGGCAGCAGUGGGGAAUAUUGCACAAUGGGGGAAACCCUGAUGCAGCGACGCCGCGUGAGUGAAGAAGUAUUUCGGUACGUAAAGCUCUAUCAGCAGGGAAGAAAAUGACGGUACCUGACUAAGAAGCCCCGGCUAAAUACGUGCCAGCAGCCGCGGUAAUACGUAGGGGGCAAGCGUUAUCCGGGUUUAAUGGGUGUAAAGGGAGCGUAGGCGGCAGCGCAAGUCUGGAGUGAAAUCCCAUGGCUUAACCAUGGAACUGCUUUGGAAACUGUGCAGCUAGAGUGCAGGAGAGGUAAGCGGAAUUCCUAGUGUAGCGGUGAAAUGCGUAGAUAUUAGGAGGAACACCAGUGGCGAAGGCGGCUUACUGGACUGUAACUGACGUUGAGGCUCGAAAGCGUGGGGAGCAAACAGGAUUAGAUACCCGAGUAGUC
Molecule: ribosomal RNA, 440 nt
Filed under: uncultured bacterium
Lineage: Bacteria
Description: partial 16S ribosomal RNA
Rfam family: Bacterial small subunit ribosomal RNA
Source: RNAcentral